UGUAGGUAAACCAGCUGGUGACCUGUAUGACUGCUCACAUAGUGACUGGGCUCUUACAUUGCUGCUUGCAGACACACUGACUCCAAGGAACUCACGUAAAAAGAUCUUGAAGGGGGAAGCAGACUUAAAUAGGUAAACCAACUUACCUGUAUGACCGCUCACAUACUGACUGGGCUCCUACAUUGCUGCUUGCGGACACACUGACUCCAAGGAACUUACGCAAAACGAUCUUGAAGGGGGAAACAGACUUAAAAAGCAAUUUUGAGGAGAACCUAGAUAGGACGUUAAUUCUACGAGUGUUAGUGUAACAAGGCCGUCUCCGAAGCAAAAUACGAGGAUGUCAUUUGAGCCCCGGACAAGGUAGAUACUUGACGUCUGUGACCAGGACGUGGCAGCUUUCCCUGAAGCACGAUGGAAUACGUGAGAAUUAAUUCCCGGGGAAAACCAUAUGAAUGCAAACUGUGUGAUACUGUCUUCUCCAAUCUGAGUAGUGUAAAGAUACACAUGAGAACACACACUGGAGAGAAACCGUAUAAGUGCGAGGUGUGUGAAGCCGCAUUCUCCACU
This is a long non-coding RNA of Priapulus caudatus, 567 nucleotides long. RefSeq lists it as uncharacterized. The transcript has 3 exons. The record is from RefSeq and is a predicted model, not a curated record. Lineage: Eukaryota; Metazoa; Priapulida; Priapulimorpha; Priapulimorphida; Priapulidae.